This 229-nucleotide unclassified non-coding RNA is filed under the name plant metagenome. RNAcentral describes it as "partial contains small subunit ribosomal RNA, internal transcribed spacer 1, and 5.8S ribosomal RNA". The record is from RNAcentral.
UCUCCGUAGGUGAACCUGCGGAGGGAUCAUUACAGAGUUCAUGCCCUACCGGGUAGAUCUCCCACCCUAUGUUAUUAUUACUUUGUUGCUUUGGCGGGCCGUUAGGCUCCGGCCCGACUACCGGCCCCGGCUGGUAAGCGCCCGCCAGAGGACCCAAAACCCUGAAUAUUAGUGUCCUAUGAGUACUAUAUAAUAGUUAAAACUUUCAACAACGGAUCUCUUGGUUCUG